RNAcentral lists this long non-coding RNA (1245 nucleotides) under Apteryx owenii (little spotted kiwi). RNAcentral describes it as "lncRNA (ENSAOWG00000014990.1)". Lineage: Eukaryota; Metazoa; Chordata; Aves; Apterygiformes; Apterygidae. The record is from RNAcentral.
AACUUGACACAUAAUAACUGCUCUGCUGUCCAAAAAAAUAAGGGUCUUAUUCUGAAGAGGUCACAGCCUAAUCAGAUGCGAUGUGGACUCAGAUGCAAGGGGAAAUGAAGAAGGAAAAUGCUGGACUCUUUGACCUCCGUGAUGACGUCACUGAUGACACUGAGGUGGUUUUACUGAAGUUUGCCCUAUUCAAGCACUGUGGCUAAGGAGCCUAAGCUGUCUUGUCAGAUCCUCACAGCCUUCUGAAGCAUCAAGGUGUAAGAGGGGUCAUUUUGCCUAGGAUAAUGCCAGGUUUCCUGCUCACCCUGUGUCCAUUGCUCUCGACUCUUGAGGCUGGAGAAAAUGCACUAAGUGGGACCUUGUUGCUGCUCAGAACCACAUUUUGGAAGACUUUAUUUGCUGAAAAUAUUCUGCUCAGCUUGAAUUCCAUGAACUUUGAGAAUCUUUUUCUCUGGCCCAGUCUAAACCAGAGAGAAAGAUUGGCUUCACAGAAGUGGAUUCACACCAGUCUGUUAGCUCUUUGUGCCACUCCAUAUGGCCCCACUCCUCACUAUUUGCAAAAAGUUGCCACAAACUACUAGAUGUGUUCAUCCAUAUCUUCUGAAGUGCGGUGGAGUAGAGAAGCCCUUGCACAGCUGUGCAGCUGUGCCAAAAUGUCUUCCUAACUUCUCAAAAGCCACAAGUAAGCUUACACCAGGAACAGCAUUGCUUCACUUUCUUCACCUGUAGCUUUGUUACACAAGUAUGCCUAAACACGUUGCUGAAGUUAUAUCUCUGAUAAGUCAUGGUUCAGGGACAUGCCUUGUCACACAACUCACCGUGGAAGGUGGGAGAGGUGACUGACUUCUUUCCGUUUGCACGGGGCCUGCAUCUCUUCCUGCAAGGAACCCCAGAGUUGGGGAAUCAAUUUAUUGUCUGAAUGGGAGCUCAAAGAUGAAGUAACCUUUCAGAAGAAACAAAACACUGAAGCAGUGUCUAGAAGGUAAGCAAUCUGCCGUUAGUUUUCUAUGUGUCCCUCUGCUGUCGCUUGAGACUGUAUUUCUGUGAGGUAUGGCGAAGAAGGCUUGCUAUUUCUCUGGGAUAGAAAUUGGGUUUGUUGGAAGAAUUAUGUUUCAGAAGUUUCUACUGUGAUGGCAGUAAGGUGGAGUGGAGGGAAGUUGUUCCUGGGUUUUUUUCUUUUGACUGAAUGAUCCCUUCAAAAUACAGUAUGGACUGAUUUAUUUGUCUGCACUGAUAUCAUUGGUA